This 76-nucleotide transfer RNA is filed under the name Ammonifex degensii. RNAcentral's name for it is "tRNA-Thr". It matches the Rfam family "tRNA". From Rfam's summary of the family: Transfer RNA (tRNA) molecules are approximately 80 nucleotides in length. Lineage: Bacteria; Bacillati; Bacillota; Clostridia; Thermoanaerobacterales; Thermoanaerobacteraceae. The record is from RNAcentral.
GCUGGGGUAGCUCAAACGGUAGAGCAGCUGACUUGUAAUCAGCAGGUUGUGGGUUCGAGUCCCAUCCCCAGCUCCA